AAUAUUUGACAAUGGGUGGAACCCUGAUCCAGCCAGGCCGCGUGUGUGAAGAAGGAAUUUUGGUUGUAUAGCACUUUAAGCGAGGAGGAGGAGCUCUUGGUUUAUUCCCAAGAUGCUUGGACGUUACUCGCAGAAUAAGUACCGCCUAACUCUGUUCCAGCAGCCGCGGUAAUACAGAGGGUGCAAGCGUUAAUCGGAUUUACUGGGCGUAAAGCGCGCGUAGGUGGCCAAUUAAGUCAAAUGUGAAAUACCCGAGCUUAACUUGGGAAUUGCAUUCGAUACUGGUUGGCUAGAGUAUGGGAGAGGAUGGUAGGAUUCCAGGUGUAGCGGUGAAAUGCGUAGAGAUCUGGAGGAAUACCGAUGGCGAAGGCAGCCAUCUGGACUAAUACUGACACUGAGGUGCGAAAGCAUGGGGAGCAAAC
Molecule: ribosomal RNA, 422 nt
Filed under: uncultured bacterium
Lineage: Bacteria
Description: partial 16S ribosomal RNA
Rfam family: Bacterial small subunit ribosomal RNA
Source: RNAcentral